Molecule: ribosomal RNA, 332 nt
Filed under: uncultured bacterium
Lineage: Bacteria
Description: bacterial SSU rRNA
Rfam family: Bacterial small subunit ribosomal RNA
Source: RNAcentral
CGCGCAGGCGGCUCUGAAAGUCAGAUGUGAAAGCCCCGGGCUUAACCUGGGAAUUGCAUUUGAUACUCUGGAGCUUGAGUACGGGAGAGGAUAGUGGAAUUCCCGAGUGUAGAGGUAGAAAUUCGUAGAUAUUGGGAAGAACACCAGUGGCGAAGGCGGCUAUCUGGACCGUAACUGACGCUGAGGCGCGAAAGCGUGGGAGCAAACAGGAUUAGAUACCCUGGUAGUCCACGCCGUAACGAUGUGCGCUAGACGUUGGGAAGCUUAGCUUCUCGGUGUCGCAGCUAACGCGAUAAGCGCACCGCCUGGGGAGUACGGCCGACAAGGUUAAA